Lagenorhynchus albirostris (white-beaked dolphin) is the source of this 461-nucleotide long non-coding RNA. RefSeq lists it as uncharacterized. The record is from RefSeq and is a predicted model, not a curated record. Lineage: Eukaryota; Metazoa; Chordata; Mammalia; Artiodactyla; Delphinidae. The transcript is spliced from 3 exons.
AAACUCUUGUUACUGUCUUUCAUUGUCAACACUACCUGCAAAGCAUCAAAGUGGAUAUAAAACUUGGGUCGUAAGCAAUGUGAGCAUCUUAAACUUACAGAAUGACAUAAUCAUCAAAAGAACAAAAUUUCAUGUCUAGUCUACUAGGACACGAUGGCAAAGAUUUUCUUUUUUUCACCUGUAUUUGGAACUAAUGCCAUAAAGCGUGCUCACCCACAAACGGAGUUUGCUUUUAAGGAAAAAGCAACCACAAAGAAGCAAGUCUUGGCAAGAGGUUAAUAGGUUAGCAGCAACUGGAGAAAAGAGAAACAGAAACCCAAGGUAGAAGAGAGAAGCUGGUAUGAGAUGAAGUUACUCAUAUUCAAGCUACUUCUUCACCAACCGGCACUUAUUGCGACAAAGAGAACUAAUUUGUGAAUUUAUGCUUCUCAGCUGGGGAUGGUAUUAAGGUUUGUUUUCCA